AUUGAACGCUGGCGGCAGGCCUAACACAUGCAAGUCGAACGGUAACAGGAAGCAGCUUGCUGCUUUGCUGACGAGUGGCGGACGGGUGAGUAAUGUCUGGGAAACUGCCUGAUGGAGGGGGAUAACUACUGGAAACGGUAGCUAAUACCGCAUAACGUCGCAAGACCAAAGAGGGGGACCUUCGGGCCUCUUGCCAUCGGAUGUGCCCAGAUGGGAUUAGCUAGUAGGUGGGGUAACGGCUCACCUAGGCGACGAUCCCUAGCUGGUCUGAGAGGAUGACCAGCCACACUGGAACUGAGACACGGUCCAGACUCCUACGGGAGGCAGCAGUGGGGAAUAUGCACAAUGGGCGCAAGCCUGAUGCAGCCAUGCCGCGUGUAUGAAGAAGGCCUUCGGGUUGUAAAGUACUUUGCAGCGGGGAGGAAGGCGAUAAGGUUAAUAACCUUGUCGAUUGACGUUACCCGCAGAAGAGCACCGCUAACUCC
Molecule: ribosomal RNA, 485 nt
Filed under: Enterobacter hormaechei
Lineage: Bacteria; Pseudomonadati; Pseudomonadota; Gammaproteobacteria; Enterobacterales; Enterobacteriaceae
Description: bacterial SSU rRNA
Rfam family: Bacterial small subunit ribosomal RNA
Source: RNAcentral